UACCGUCUCUCAGCCAGCAGCUACUGAACCUGAAGCUUAGCUGACAGAGAAGCCUGUGAAAGCCCCUCAGUACUCCUUCAUCAGGUCCACUGGGGCACUUUGGACACCUUUCUGUGACAAUGAUUUAUGGUCUUAUGCUGUGCAGUGUGAGAAACGUAUUUUUGCUGUAAUGGGUGGAAACCUGGAUCUCCACUGCUGCUCAGGGUUUGCCUUUUUAUCUGCACUGUGUGGUUCAUGAAAACUGAAAUUCUCAGCUCUGUUUCAAAAAAAAAGAAAAGAAAAGAAAACACAUUUCACAGCAGACUCUUCCUUCUUCAUCACAUAUGGUCAGUGAUAGUCGCCUUGCUGAGAUCUGUUCAACUCCCAGUAUGUUUUAAGAAGUUAUGUACUAAAAAAGGCAUAUGGCCAAAGCCUCUUGGCUUGCAAUUUUUACUGUGUCAAUAUGAAGCAGAGCAGUGGCAUUGUAACCACUUUCCAGUGUGAGCUUAUCUUCAGGAUUUUGUUUUCUUCUGAGGCAUUGACCUUUCUAUUAUCAGCCCUGCUGAAGGGAAGGAGUGCAACCAUGUCUUGUCUGUAUCAUGUUGUUUAUGGUUUAUAUGUGGCUCAAAUUUCUGUCAGAAACUUCGUUGUGAUUUUACUGCCUGGUUUUACAUUCUGCCUGUGAUGUACUAAUUAUUGGGGUGUGACAGAGCACUUAUUUCCUAUCAUAAACCAGGGGCUGUUAUCCAGGAAUGAAAUUUUGCUCAAGUCAUGAAAGGAUGUAACAAUCUGAAAUAUUCUCCAAGGGCCAUAUUCUGAUCCUGUUGACAUUGAUGGAAAUGUUACUUUUGUGUUCACUGUGAU
Molecule: long non-coding RNA, 843 nt
Filed under: Dromaius novaehollandiae (emu)
Lineage: Eukaryota; Metazoa; Chordata; Aves; Casuariiformes; Dromaiidae
Description: lncRNA (ENSDNVG00000003553.1)
Source: RNAcentral